Molecule: ribosomal RNA, 433 nt
Filed under: uncultured bacterium
Lineage: Bacteria
Description: partial 16S ribosomal RNA
Rfam family: Bacterial small subunit ribosomal RNA
Source: RNAcentral
AACGAACGCUGGCGGCAUGCCUAACACAUGCAAGUCGAACGAGACCUUCGGGUCUAGUGGCGCACGGGUGCGUAACGCGUGGGAACCUGCCCUUAGGUUCGGAAUAACUCCCCGAAAGGGGUGCUAAUACCGGAUAAUGUCUUCGGACCAAAGAUUUAUCGCCUUUGGAUGGGCCCGCGUUGGAUUAGCUAGUUGGUGGGGUAAAAGCCUACCAAGGCGACGAUCCAUAGCUGGUCUGAGAGGAUGAUCAGCCACACUGGGACUGAGACACGGCCCAGACUCCUACGGGAGGCAGCAGUGGGGAAUAUUGGACAAUGGGCGAAAGCCUGAUCCAGCAAUGCCGCGUGAGUGAUGAAGGCCUUAGGGUUGUAAAGCUCUUUUACCCGGGAUGAUAACGACAGUACCGGGAGAAUAAGCUCCGGCUAACUCCGUG